RNAcentral lists this long non-coding RNA (710 nucleotides) under Homo sapiens (human). Its description in RNAcentral is "HSALNT0388092". The record is from RNAcentral. Lineage: Eukaryota; Metazoa; Chordata; Mammalia; Primates; Hominidae.
CUUGCCAGACUGGUCUCAAACUCCUGAGUUCACGUGAUCCCCCACCUCAGUCUCCCAAUAUGCUGGGAUUACAGACAUGAGCUACCACGCCCAACUCCAGAAGUGCUCACUUCUAAACUCCUACAGGAACUUCAACCAAUGCGCUUCCUAUGGCAACGGGCACAGUACUCAUGGCCACAAUGAUGACAACAGUAAUGGCUGUGAAUAUGUGUUGAGUGCGUACAACGUCCUGGGUGUUGGCAUGAGCACUUUAUAUGCACUAUCUCAUCAGACCUCAGUAAGAGUUCAUGAGAUUUAAGCAGCUCCAGGGUGAGAUACAUACGGCUCUCGUGCCCUCCCCUCUCUGAACCUAGCUUGCACCUUGCUCAAAGCAGCACUCAGGAAACGUUUGUUGGCGUGGUUUUUGGCUUUAUCUGAACAGCACCUUCACGGAGUGAUUCCACUAAAACUCUCGACAUGGUGGCGGGGACAAGACCUCAGGGCUGGCCAUCACUGCCAUCAGUGUGGUUUUCUGGGUCAUCAUUUGAAACAGGAUGUUCUUGCAUUUAUGUAAUGAUGUACCCAUUAAAACUCCUUGUGAGUAGAAAAGUUUUAAUGACUUCUGGGAGGGAGGGUGGUUUUCUAAGUUCAGGUUUGAUGGGAGCGAGAGGCAGCUCAGGAAAGCGUCUGCGGACGCGCCAGCCAGCGGCUGGGCCAAAUCUGGAAUGGCA